AGGAGACCGGCUGGAAGCGCUUCUUUGCACAGUGUGUCCCUUGCAUUUGUGACUGCGCUUUGUCAUGUGCAUCUGCAGCCUGAAGCGUGGUGAAUACACUGUGUGGACUGCACAGUGUCACAUCAGGUGAAGAGGAAAUGCACAGCUUCAACACCACAGAGCCAAACUAUGCUGCUUCAUCCGAUUGUGGGGACAAAUUAGCGGGCCAAAAUCUGGGUGUUUGCAGACAUUCAUUUUAAUCUCUUUGGCACACUGAAGCCAACAAUGUCUCCUCGGUUUCUAUUUACAGGAUGUUACACUAUGAUGAGAAGAUUUCACUGCCUGAGGUUCAAAUCCCUCUCGUCACUGAUGAAUUAUAAGCAAAGCAGAACGGCUCAGUUCAGUCAAUCUGUAUGUUGGAAGGCGGCAGCCGGGUCAGAAAAGAAAAGUGAGGUGAAUUGUACUUGGUUAAAGCUGCCUGAAUGGCCGUGUCAGACGUGGGUUAAAUAAUUGUUUAAAACUUUUAAAAUAAAAAGUUGAACCUGA
Molecule: long non-coding RNA, 525 nt
Organism: Chelmon rostratus (copperband butterflyfish)
Lineage: Eukaryota; Metazoa; Chordata; Actinopteri; Chaetodontiformes; Chaetodontidae
Exons: 2
Source: RefSeq, a predicted model, not a curated record